Non-coding RNA from Puma concolor (puma), 301 nucleotides. The record is from RefSeq and is a predicted model, not a curated record. Lineage: Eukaryota; Metazoa; Chordata; Mammalia; Carnivora; Felidae.
AGUGGCAGCAGUGACGACACAGAGCUGCGGUACUCCUCCCAGUACGAGGAGCGCCUGGACCCCUUCUCCUCCUUCAGCAGGCGGGAGCGGCAGCGGAAGUACCUGAGCCUGAGCCCUUGGGACAAGGCCACACUCAGCAUGGGACGACUGGUUCUCUCCAAUAAGAUAGCACGCACCAUUGGCUUCUUCUACACACUGUUCCUGCAUUGCUUGGUCUUCCUGGUGCUCUACAAGCUGGCGUGGAGCGAGAGCAUGGAGAGGGACUGUGCCACCUUCUGCGCUAAGAAGUGAGGACAUCACC